UCCAUGUUAGGUACAACAACUAUGACCGGGCUGUCAUCAAUACCGUUCCUUAUGAUGUCGUCCAUCGCUGGUAUACAGCACACCGGACUCUAACGAUAGAGUUGAGGAGACCUGAGAAUGAGUUUUGGGUUAAACUAAAGCCUGGCAGGGUCCUAUUUAUAGACAACUGGCGUGUCCUACAUGGCAGGGAAUGCUUCACUGGCUACCGCCAACUCUGUGGCUGCUAUUUAACAAGGGAUGACGUAUUAAACACUGCUCGCCUCUUGGGGCUUCAGGCUUAAAAUUGACAGCAUUGGGAUUAUGAAUACACCUGGCACCCCGGCUACCAGAAUUUCAUAUGGGCAGAAUAAUAUUUAAUAUUGUGUCAAACUCUACUUCAGAUUGUCUCCUUAUCCCAUCCCACAAAACAGAAGCUGUCCCUUUCUCUAGCAGGGGAGACUUGUUAGAGAGGGGGGACUCUGAGCUAUCUAAUGUCAGACUUCUAGUGGGGCAGCUCUCUUCCUCAUGUUAUAACAUGGAUCCACUUGUUUUAUUUAAACCUUUUAAUAUAAUUUUGGUCAAUCUCCUUCAGAAAUAUAAUCUCCAUAUUGAUAGGAAAGCAAUAAUUGCCAUGAGGUAGUGAUUUUUUUUUUUCCCCAAGUAGAUCAGUUAGAAAGAAAUGCAUUCUAGAAAUAACAAAAAUCCUGAUAAAGCAACAAUUUGCAAAAUGUUUGGUCUUAGGACACCUUAACACUCUUAAAAGUUAUUGAAGGCCCCAAGGAGCUCUUGGGUGUGGGUUCUAUCUAUUGAUACUAAUUGUCUUAGGUAUUAAGACUGGGAAAUAUUUAAAACUCAAGAACGCAGAAGCACACAUCCCUCAGCUAUCAGAGAGAUGACAUAACCAUAUGUCAUGUAGCCUCUGGAAAAGUCCUCUGUCUCCUCACGAGAUAAUGAGAGGGGGAGAAAAAGCUACUAUUGCCUUUGUAACUUCCACUUAGCCUACUACAGGGCUAUGCACAUCUGGGUUUCCAAAAGUCUGCUUAAUUUCAAAAGAAAAAUGCUUAAUUGAAUGUAACUCAUCUUGGUGUUAUUAUACAAAAUAAUUUUUAAUCUUCAGACCCACUAAAAAGGCCUCAGGGACUCCUCCAGGGGUCUUCAGACCAUAUUUUGAGAACCCAUGGGCUAGCGACUACCUUGAGACAGUCCUUUACAUAGGCCUGGGGAUUAAAGGGUUUAGCUGAAACCCUAGAUUUUUCUCUAUAGCCUAAUAGAACUCCAAACAUUAUAAGAAUUGCUUGGUAGCAUAAGCUCAGGGAUAAGGUGGGAAUUGAGUUCAAAUAUAGUGUUUUAUCUUCGAUACAAAUCAUCUCUAUAGGAGUUAAAUUAGGAAGUCACAACAGCUCCUGUUGAACAAACUCAUCAGUGUGGUAAUCCUAUGAGGGAUAAUUGCAGAAAGGUUUUAGAGACUUGUGAGGUUCCAUAUGAUAAUUCUUUACACACACACACACACACACACACACCCCACCACCACCACCACCAAGAGAAGUACACAGGGCUAUCCUGUAAUAUUAUUCAGGGAAAUCAGCAUGAUAGAUGCCGUGCCUCCAGAGAGUUCUCUGGAGAUUACUACCCAAAUGUGUAUUUUGGCAAUUUGGUGGUAUUUAGGAUGUAAUAUGUUUUCCUCCAUUUCUGCUAAUUUUUUUCUUUCUCUCUCUGUCUCUCUCAUAAAAUACUAUACAUGUUAAUUACCAAGAUUUGAAUGAGUCAAA
Long non-coding RNA from Mandrillus leucophaeus (drill), 1748 nucleotides. RefSeq lists it as uncharacterized. Lineage: Eukaryota; Metazoa; Chordata; Mammalia; Primates; Cercopithecidae. The record is from RefSeq and is a predicted model, not a curated record. The transcript is spliced from 2 exons.